RNAcentral lists this ribosomal RNA (1153 nucleotides) under uncultured organism. Its description in RNAcentral is "bacterial SSU rRNA". It matches the Rfam family "Bacterial small subunit ribosomal RNA", at positions 84 to 1252 of the family's 1533-position model. The record is from RNAcentral.
AUGUAAUCUUAGCGGCGGACGGGUGAGUAACGCGUACGCAAGCUGCCUUGCACAGAGGGAUAACACCGGGAGGAUGGUGCUAAUACCACAUGAUAUCAUAACAAGGCAUCUUGAAAUGAUCAAAGGAGAAAUCCGGUGCAAGAUGGGCCUGCGUCCGAUUAGUUAGUUGGUGAGGUAACGGCUCACCAAGGCGACGAUCGGUAGCCGAACUGAGAGGUUGAUCGGCCACAUUGGGACUGAGACACGGCCCAGACUCCUACGGGAGGCAGCAGUGAGGAAUAUUGCGCAAUGGGGGGAACCCUGACGCAGCAACGCCGCGUGAAGGAAGAAGGCCUUCGGGUUGUAAACUUUUUUGAUUGGGGAAGAAAAAAAUGACGGUACCCAAUGAACAAGCCACGGCUAACUACGUGCCAGCAGCCGCGGUAAUACGUAGGUGGCGAGCGUUGUCCGGAAUUACUGGGUGUAAAGGGCGUGUAGGCGGGAUUGUAAGUCAGAUGUGAAAUUCCAGGGCUUAACUCUGGAGGUGCAUCUGAAACUAUAAUUCUUGAGUGCUGGAGAGGAAAGCGGAAUUCCUAGUGUAGCGGUGAAAUGCGUAGAUAUUAGGAAGAACACCAGUGGCGAAGGCGGCUUUCUGGACAGUAACUGACGCUGAGGCGCGAAAGCGUGGGGAGCAAACAGGAUUAGAUACCCUGGUAGUCCACGCUGUAAACGAUGGAUACUAGGUGUAGGAGGUAUCGACCCCUUCUGUGCCGGAAGUUAACACAAUAAGUAUCCCACCUGGGGAGUACGGCCGCAAGGCUGAAACUCAAAGGAAUUGACGGGGGCCCGCACAAGCAGUGGAGUAUGUGGUUUAAUUCGAAGCAACGCGAAGAACCUUACCAGGGCUUGACAUCCCUCGGAUAACAUAGAGAUAUGUUAGUCCUUCGGGACGAGGAGACAGCUGGUGCAUGGUUGUCGUCAGCUCGUGUCGUGAGAUGUUGGCUUUAGUCCCGCAACGAGCGCAACCCCUAUUGUUAGUCGCCAUCAUUAAGUUGGCACCUCUAACGAGACUGCUGGUGACAAAUCGGAGCUAGUUGGGGACGACGUCAAAUCAUCAUGCCCCUUAUGUCCUGGGCUACACACGUACUACAAUGGUCACUACAAAGGGAAGCAA